UACGUAGGGUGCGAGCGUUGUCCGGAUUUAUUGGGCGUAAAGAGCUCGUAGGCGGUUUGUCGCGUCGGCCGUGAAAUCUCCACGCUUAACGUGGAGCGUGCGGUCGAUACGGGCAGACUUGAGUUCGGUAGGGGAGAUCGGAAUUCCUGGUGUAGCGGUGAAAUGCGCAGAUAUCAGGAGGAGCACCGGUGGCGAAGGCGGAUCUCUGGGCCGAUACUGACGCUGAGGAGCGAAAGCGUGGGGAGCGAACAGG
Molecule: ribosomal RNA, 253 nt
Filed under: uncultured bacterium
Lineage: Bacteria
Description: partial 16S ribosomal RNA
Rfam family: Bacterial small subunit ribosomal RNA
Source: RNAcentral